AUUCAUCUUUUCCGCGAGCAGUCGAAAUAUUCAAAAUGUGCAAACUAAAAAUCAACUCAGUUCUUUUCUUGAUACUACUUCAAAUAUUUUUGGUGGCCACAGCUGCCUUCGACGAGACGUGCGAAUCCGACCGAGAAAUGGAAAAACAGUGCCGCUUGCAUAACUAUAAAACUGUGAAACCUUUGCUUGAUUAUUUUAGACAGGUUAGAAAUGAGUUAGAAGACAAAGAAAUUAAGGAAAAUAAGUUAAAUGAAUUAAAUUCGGAUCUUAUGGAAAAGUAUCAUGAAAUUGUAAGAAUUCAUGAAAAAUUCAUGAAUGAGGCAGAUCUAUUAGAUGAUUAUAAAAACAAAGUACUUAAAGGGGAAAGCGAUUUGCAAUUGAGUAAAAAUAAAGUUGAGAAAUUAGAAUCUGAGAUUAAUUCACAACAAAAUAUUAUUGUGAAAUUAAAAGGAGAAUUAGCUGAUAAAACAACUAACUUAAGAAAUUGCGAACUUCAAUUCAAAAAUCUUAAUUCUAGUUUAAUUGAAAAAGAUAAAAAAAUAAAAAUAUUUAGUGAGAAUAUUCAAAAUAAUACUGAGCAUCAGAAAACACUUGAAGUGCAAUUAGAGAAGAGUAAAUCUAAAUUAAUAAAUAAAGAUAAAGAUAUUCAGUUAUGCCAAUCUGCAAUUGAUACAUUAAAUCGGACAUCAGAAAACAUCAGAGAACAACAGAAAAAAAUUCAAUUGGAAUUAAAUGAAAGUGAAACUAAGCUAAUAGAUAAAGUGAAAGAAAAUCAGUUAUGUCAAUCUGAAAUUGAUAUAUUGAAUAAGACUUUACUCAAUACUCUUGUCCCAACAAGUUGCUCUCCUUUUGGGGAUUAUCCUGGUGUCCAUCAACUCAAUGUCUCUGGCGUAGGUUUAUUCGAUGUUUUAUGCGAUAGUCAGUUAGCUGGACCUGGAUGGAUUGUAAUACAGCAACGAGUUGGGGGAAAUGAGAGUUUCAAUAGGAAUUGGGCAACGUAUCGCAAAGGUUUCGGUUCUUAUAAGAGUGAUUUCUUCCUGGGACUAGAGAAAAUACAUCGUAUCACGAGCUUGCAGCGUCACGAACUUUACAUACAUUUGGUUGCUCUGAAUGGAAGUACCUACAAUGCUCGAUAUGACGACAUCAAAAUAUCUGACGAAGACAAUGGAUAUAAACUGAGUUUGGGUAAAUUCAGCGGAACUAUUAUUAGGGACUCGAUGAUAUACACCGAAAACAUGAAAUUCACAACAUUUGAUCGCGACAACGACGAAUCUGGUGUAGGUAAUUGCGCAGUUAUUUACAAAAGUGGCUGGUGGUACAGGAAAUGUUAUAGUUGUAAUUUAAAUGCACCUUAUGGGCCAGAUCUAAUUUGCUAUGAGAAAAAUAAAAUCGAACUCAAAGAAGCUAAGAUGCUAAUUCGCCCCAAAGAAGCGAUGAAGAAGUGAGCAACUGAAGAGAUGAAAUUAAAAUAUUUGACUCAAUUAUGUAAUCAUUUAUAUAUAAUUGGAUGAUUACAAUUUUGCGUUCUAAAUAAAAACAAGUGCGGAAGUGGGCGUGGCAAAAAUUUGAAAUAAACUUGAUCUGCGUGCAAACAUAACAAAUGCUGUCGAAAAUUAUUGCUCUAUCUCCUAUACUCUCUGAGAUCAAGGUGUUCAUACGAACAGACGAACAGACAGACAGACGGGCAUGGCUAGAUCGUCUCGUAUAUCAAGAAUAUAAAUUCUUUUUGGGGUUGGAGAUGCCUGUUACAGAUAUUUCCUGCCGGCACAAAGUUAUAAUACCCUUCUAUCCUAUAGGUAGCGGGUAUAAAAAGACACAACAUUAUUGCUAUUAAACCUUUUCCCUUUCAAUCUCGCUUUCGUGAGCUACACAGCUGCUGCUUAGUUUUAAAUUUAAUUAGUUCAAUAUCUCUUUGUGAUUUACAAGUUUUAUUAUUAUUGACUGGAUCACCGAGAACUCUUAACGAAUUAUUGAAGUUGGAGUGCAGUAGAAACUCAGUUCAGAGAAUAUCUGCAAACACAUCAAUUAAUAAUAAUACUUAACAGAAAACAUAAUAUAU
Molecule: RNA transcript, 2059 nt
Organism: Drosophila nasuta
Lineage: Eukaryota; Metazoa; Arthropoda; Insecta; Diptera; Drosophilidae
Gene name: angiopoietin-related protein 7-like
Exons: 4
Source: RefSeq, a predicted model, not a curated record